Molecule: ribosomal RNA, 333 nt
Filed under: uncultured bacterium
Lineage: Bacteria
Description: bacterial SSU rRNA
Rfam family: Bacterial small subunit ribosomal RNA
Source: RNAcentral
UGCGCAGGCGGUUCGUUUUGUGGGUGGUGAAAUCUCCUGGCUCAACUGGGAGGGGGCCAUCCAAACGGGCGAACUUGAGGCAUGGAGAGGGACGUGGAAUUCCGGGUGGAGCGGUGAAAUGCGUAGAGAUCCGGAGGAACACCGACGGCGAAGGCAGCGUCCUGGCCACGACCUGACGCUCAGGCACGAAAGCUGGGGGAGCAAACAGGAUUAGAUACCCUGGUAGUCCCAGCUGUAAACGAUGUCCACCAGGUGCUGGAGGUAUCGACCCCUUCGGUGCCGAAGCUAACGUGAUGAGUGGACCGCCUGGGGGAGUACGGCCGCAAGGUUAAA